Molecule: long non-coding RNA, 570 nt
Organism: Cloeon dipterum
Lineage: Eukaryota; Metazoa; Arthropoda; Insecta; Ephemeroptera; Baetidae
Exons: 5
Source: RefSeq, a predicted model, not a curated record
CUUUGAAAAACCAUCAGAAAGAUGACGACGCGCGUUGUUUUAGCAUUUUUUGCUAUUUGCUUUCUUGGCCUCAAUUUUACGUUUGCAGGGCCCGUAAAUGAAACAAAGGCUGCAGAACCUUCUCCGAGGUUUGAUUAUGGAGGACACACUUAUUACAUACGUGCAUCAGCAGUUGACUGGUUUGGCGCGAGAAAUUUAUGUAGGGAAGAAGGACUAGAUUUAGCGAGCAUUCAAAAUUCCGCCGAGAAUUCCGCUAUUUUGUCCGCUAUAAGCGCCUAUAGCGAAUCGUUCUGGGUGUCUGGAUCGGAUCAAUGGCAAGAAGGCAAUUGGUACUGGGACUCAACAGGAGUGGAUUUUGGGUCAAAUCCUUUUUGGAGUCCUAAUCAGCCUAAUAAUUCCGGCAACUGCCUCAGACUCUGGAACGAUGUUGGUCAUCUCUGGGACGAUGAGGACUGUGUAUCAAAGCAUGCGUACAUUUGUGAGACGCAGAUUAGCCUAUGCACUUAAGCUAUUAUACAAGCAUAUAACAAUUGUUGAUAAUAAAUUUUCUCUUGCAUUAAUGUGAAAUAA